RNAcentral lists this unclassified non-coding RNA (209 nucleotides) under uncultured Chloroflexota bacterium. RNAcentral describes it as "uncultured Chloroflexi bacterium contains 16S-23S intergenic spacer region". It matches the Rfam family "Bacterial small subunit ribosomal RNA", at positions 840 to 1047 of the family's 1533-position model. The record is from RNAcentral. Lineage: Bacteria; Bacillati; Chloroflexota.
UCGGCGCCGCAGCUAACGCAUUAAGUGUGCCGCCUGGGGACUACGGCCGCAAGGCUAAAACUCAAAGGAAUUGACGGGGGCCCGCACAAGCAGCGGAGCGUGUGGUUUAAUUCGAUGCAACGCGCAGAACCUUACCUAGGCUUGACAUGCACGUGGUACCAACCCGAAAGGGAAGGGACCCGCGAGGGAGCGUGCACAGAUGCUGCAUG